GACGAACGCUGGCGGCGUGCUUAACACAUGCAAGUCGAACGGAAAGGCCCUGCUUUUGUGGGGUGCUCGAGUGGCGAACGGGUGAGUAACACGUGAGUAACCUGCCCUUGACUUUGGGAUAACUUCAGGAAACUGGGGCUAAUACCGGAUAGGAGCUCCUGCUGCAUGGUGGGGGUUGGAAAGUUUCGGCGGUUGGGGAUGGACUCGCGGCUUAUCAGCUUGUUGGUGGGGUAGUGGCUUACCAAGGCUUUGACGGGUAGCCGGCCUGAGAGGGUGACCGGCCACAUGGGGACUGGGUUCCGGCCCAGCUCCCACCGGGGGGCAGAGGUGGGGAUUAUUGAACAUGGGCGGAAGCCUGAUGCAGCAACGCCGCGUGCGGGAUGACGGCCUUCGGGUUGUAAACCGCUUUCGCCUGUGACGAAGCGUGAGUGACGGUAAUGGGUAAAGAAGCACCGGCUAACUACGUG
RNAcentral lists this ribosomal RNA (467 nucleotides) under uncultured bacterium. RNAcentral's name for it is "partial 16S ribosomal RNA". It matches the Rfam family "Bacterial small subunit ribosomal RNA", at positions 28 to 507 of the family's 1533-position model. The record is from RNAcentral.